Long non-coding RNA from Lycium barbarum (goji berry), 3208 nucleotides. RefSeq lists it as uncharacterized. Lineage: Eukaryota; Viridiplantae; Streptophyta; Magnoliopsida; Solanales; Solanaceae. The record is from RefSeq and is a predicted model, not a curated record. The transcript is spliced from 2 exons.
UAUGCUGGAGUUUAAUCUUAGAAGUUUCGAACUUCAAUAUACAAUGCUGAAGUUUUCGCCUUACGGGAAAUUUUGAACUUCAUGAAUAAUUUAUGGAGUUUGAACUGCUAAAAUUUUUAACUUCAGUAAUUGCUCCUAGAGUAUUCAGUGAUUUAGUUGAGAGAUUCUUGUUCAAAACCUCUCUGUGUAAAAAAAAGUAGCUAAAGUUAUAACCACAUUGUUUAAAUAUAUAUUUUUUUACAUUUUCAAUGCACAAAAUUUUAAAACUAAGAAAUCGGGAGUUUUCACUUUUUUCCGGAACAUUAGUCCAAAAACUGUUUGGACAUAAGAUUGUUAUAAUUUUUUGGAAUAAAACUGUUUGGAAUUCAAAAAUGUUGUUUUCACAAUUUUCACUUCAAAUCACUCACAAAAAUCCAAAAAUAACCCCAAUUAUCUGCAUGUCCAAAACAACUUCAAUUUUCGAAUACCAUUUUCAACUUAAAAACAAAUACAAUACUACUUUUUUUUUUUUUUCAAUUUUACAAUUCUUAUGUUCAAUCACCCACUUAAAUUACUGGUCGGAGCUGGUACAUGACUGUACGUUGCACUGAAAUGUUACAUUACACGUAAAUGGAAAUACUGAAAAGGAAGCAGCGUAAAGCAGAGAAGAAAAGUGGGAGAAGAUAGGAGGCAGACUGAGCUUUCAUUCAUAAUAAAGGAAACAACCCUAUUACUACAUGAUAUAUAUAAGAUGCUAAAAUGGGAAAUGCUAAACACUGGCUGAUGACAGAAAUAAAAAGAGUACUCUCUCCAUAAAGCUAAUAAAUUACCCUGGGAUUCCUCUUAACUUUAGGUUAACUCAUUACCCCAUUUUAAUACGUAUCCUACAUUUGGGGUUUGUUUCUUUUUUCUUUUUCUUUUGUAUAAAUUUGGGGCUUGCAACUGCUACACUUGCUUUAGUUUUGGAUUUUGCCAUGUAUGCAGAGAAAAUAUUUGCUUGCUCCAGUUGUGCUUAGGUUCAAUAUGAUGAAGGGUUAAUAUGAAUGCUAUUUCUUGAUUCUAGCUAGCAGUUCCUCCUUGGAGUUCAUUGGUCUCUUCAGUGUUUGCUUAAAAUUGCAUGCGAAGCAUUUUUGCCACUAAAGUAAGCAUAUAACUAUAUGUUUUUGUUGAAUGCAUAUCUAAAUGUAACAGAAGAUAAGAAAAACAAUCAUGGCACGCAUUUGAAGCAUCAACGAGCAAAAGAAAUCUUAAAUCAUAUAGCUGAAGAGCCCGACUAUUAUAAGUUAAAUCCCCUGUUGGAAUUUUUUCCUCUGUGUCGAGAUAUUUUUGAACUGUGAAACACAUUUAAGUUGUUAGUAAUAUUCUAUUUUACCAGUCUCUGACUAUUUGUGUUAGAGAAAACUACUGGUUAAUUAAGAAAACUGAUCAGGAAGGAUUUCUUUGUAAUGAAACUUUCUAUUUUAGAAUUGGAAGACAGACAAUGGGGAUCUCUCUCUUGUAACAUCUUUCUAGUAGCUUAGGGGGAAAAAGCAGAAGCUAAACCGAAAAAAAAGGUUGGGGAAAGCGAUGGAUUGUAAAGCAAUAAUCAGAAUACACCAAGACAAGAAUGUUAUUCACCAUUAUCCAACACUAACAGGACAGUAGUGUUCAUUUACAGUAGGGUGGAUUAUUUUCACUAUUAUAAAUUGUAAAGCUUUCAUCGAGUAAGAGCUGGUAUAUAAAGUUGGAUCACUUGCUUAAAAAACAUGUACCUGUUAUUUAUUCCUUGUGAGCAGAGAGCUACACAAGGCUGGUCGAGUCAAACCAUUGCUGUAGGAUGUACUAAUCUACUUAAUUAACCCAAAUCUUUUACUUCUAUUUGUUCUAUAUCUAUGUCCUAGUCUUAUAAUUUUUUUCUAUCUGGCCUUGUCAUUGUUUGCCUUACUCGAGCCGAGGGUCUAUCGGAAACAGCCUCUCUACCUACCAAGGUAGAGGUAAGGUCUGCGUACACUCUACCCUCCCCCUUCCCCAGACCCCACUUUCGGGAUUACAUAAGUUACCUUGUUGUUGUUGUCGUUGGCCUUGUCAUUGUUUGUGGGUUGCUGGUUGGGCUUGGGAUGUUGAUUCCAGUGUUUCAGUAUGUAGGUUGAUCAAAUUGCAGAUUUUCAUUGCUGGAAUAGGAGAUACAGAAAUUGACGAUAUUGGAAGUCUUCAAGGUAUUGGUUUCCUUAAGACUGGAAUAGCAUAUAUAACUAGUGAUGAUGAUACUGAAGUUCCUCUGUGCGCAUUGCGCGCAACUGCUGUGAAGCUGUUGGAGGUCGAACAGAGGAACAAUGAAAUACACUCGGAGAAAAUUGAGUUAGAAAGACAAGCUAACGCGAUCAUAUUGAUCUGUACAAGGGCAUCUUCACUCUUUUGGUAUUCUCAGUAGGAAUUAAUAUCAACCAAACUACCAAAGUACCAUCUUGUCCUGACUUUGCCAUAAUAUCUAUUCUAUCCGCGUGUAUGUUUUGGUCUGGAAUGUUCAUUUUCAUGGUCUCUUUAAGAUGAGGAUUACAAUCACGAACAGUUCGAUCAGGCUUUUGACCGCAAGGCAUAUAAGAGUGAGAGUAGAAGCAAGAAUUCUGAUGGAAUUGGAAAAUAAGAGGAAAAGAAGGCUAGCAGCAAAUGUUCUGAAUAACAGUGAAGGUCCAGUCAUAAACAUGGAUUUUUUUAUCACCACAACUAAGACCAUAUAUGAUGCUCCCGAAUUUUCUGAUUUUGAGAAGGUUUAUCAUAAGAAGAUCAAUCUGUCUUGUGUGGUCAGAAGUGUUGCUAUCUUCCUGCUAUGGUGGUCCAUACAUACUUCUAUAUAUAUAUAUAUAUGUGGUGAGUAUUCUCCUUUUCUAUGUAAAUGAAUUUGAAGUCUAUUUUCGAGCAUGCUAAAGAGUGAUAUCGUGAAAUGUAGCCCUUUUUAUACAAAAGUGCAAUUCAUUAACAAGACUAACCAUCUUUUGGUUUUUCAUUUACAGAGCUGAAUCAAGGACAUGAUUCUUCAUCACCUGACAAGCUUAGCAUGCCAUAUAAGGCUACAUGAAAAUUUAUAGUCGAAUACAAAACUAUGUUUUGGUGUUUUGGUAUUUGCCAACUUUGAACUUUCUCGAUUUGUAGCGUUUAAUUUGCAAAUGUUUGCUAGGAACUGGCCAAGUUAAUUUUGGGAGCUUCCUUUCAAUUGCCUAUUUUGAUUAUGAAACUUAUAGUAGUUCGAACA